RNAcentral lists this long non-coding RNA (645 nucleotides) under Zonotrichia albicollis (white-throated sparrow). RNAcentral's name for it is "lncRNA (ENSZALG00000008440.1)". Lineage: Eukaryota; Metazoa; Chordata; Aves; Passeriformes; Passerellidae. The record is from RNAcentral.
CAGAAACAUCUGUUUUCAGUAGGGACACAACUAAUAACUAAAUCAGGAAGCCCAAAGGCUCUUACCUGCCUGCCUUAAUAGUCUGUUUGGUUCUGCAUUCCUAACAGUUUUCUCACACUGAAAAUCAUAUUUCAUGCUGCACUUCAGGCCAAGCAAGCUUGUAGAACAGUUGCUGAAACCCUUCUGCUUUAAUAUAAGCAUAACUGUUCUGUUCCUAUUGCAGCUAUAUAAAUCUACCUUCUGCUUAGCCACCUGUAGAAAAUUGCACCUAAAGUUAUGCAGAAAGUUUGCACUGAACCUUGAAGACAUGUACUCUGACAUCCAGCUGGAAAUUCAAACUGUUCCAAAAAAGGAGUGCUGCUGUUUUUCUCCUUUGGAGGCAUCAUUUGGAACGAGAUAACAUUUUGUUUUAUUGUCAAUAAUAUAUGAAGGAAAGAACUGCACACCUUCAUCAGAGUCUGAAGGAGUUUAAGUUAGGAUUUGAAAACUGCCAAAAAUGACAGCAAGACAAUGAAAAAACAGUGAUUUUCUUUAAAAAAUAGGAGAAAUAAGUGGGCUUUCUGAGAAACAGAAAUGACAUUGCGAAGUAGAUUUUAUUUCAUUUCUGAACUUAUCGCAAACUGAUGAGAUUUGUUUUCUUCCUAC